UACGUAGGGUGCAAGCGUUAAUCGGAAUUAUUGGGCGUAAAGGGUGCGCAGGCGGAUGUAUAAGUCAGAUGUGAAAUCCCCGGGCUUAACCUGGGAAUUGCGUUUGAACUAUAUGACUAGAGUGUGAUAGAGGGGAGUGGAAUUCCAUGUGUAGCAGUGAAAUGACGUAGAGAUGUGGAAGAACACCGAUGGCGAAGGCAGCUCCCUGGAUUAGCACUGACGCUCAUGCGAACGA
RNAcentral lists this ribosomal RNA (235 nucleotides) under uncultured bacterium. Its description in RNAcentral is "partial 16S ribosomal RNA". It matches the Rfam family "Bacterial small subunit ribosomal RNA", at positions 524 to 756 of the family's 1533-position model. The record is from RNAcentral.